Molecule: ribosomal RNA, 252 nt
Filed under: uncultured Bacteroidales bacterium
Lineage: Bacteria; Pseudomonadati; Bacteroidota; Bacteroidia; Bacteroidales
Description: partial 16S ribosomal RNA
Rfam family: Bacterial small subunit ribosomal RNA
Source: RNAcentral
UACGGAGGAUGCGAGCGUUAUCCGGAUUUAUUGGGUUUAAAGGGUGCGCAGGCGGAUUUUUAAGUCAGCGGUCAAAUCGUGGGGCUCAACCCCAUCCAGCCGUUGAAACUGGGGAUCUAGAGUGUGCGAGAGGUAAGCGGAAUGCGUGGUGUAGCGGUGAAAUGCAUAGAUAUCACGCAGAACCCCGAUUGCGAAGGCAGCGUACCGGCCGGUCACUGACGCUGAGGCACGAAAGCGUGGGUAUCGAACAGG